Molecule: ribosomal RNA, 233 nt
Filed under: uncultured bacterium
Lineage: Bacteria
Description: partial 16S ribosomal RNA
Rfam family: Bacterial small subunit ribosomal RNA
Source: RNAcentral
UGGGUGAUCUGCCCUGCACUUUGGGAUAAGCCUGGGAAACUGGGUCUAAUACCGAAUACACCCUGCUGGUCGCAUGGCCUGGUGGGGGAAAGCUUUUGCGGUGUGGGAUGGGCCCGCGGCCUAUCAGCUUGUUGGUGGGGUGAUGGCCUACCAAGGCGACGACGGGUAGCCGGCCUGAGAGGGUGACCGGCCACGCUGGGACUGAGACACGGCCCAGACUCCUACGGGAGGCA